CCCUUAGAUGUCCUGGGCUGCACGCGCGCUACACUGAACGGAUCAGCGCGUUUUCCCUUCCCGAGAGGGACGGGUAACCUGCUGAACCCCGUUCGUGGUAGGGAUCGGGGCUUGCAAUUAUUCCCCGUGAACCAGGAAUGCCCAGUAAGUGCAAGUCAUAAGCUUGCGUUGAUUACGUCCCUGCCCUUUGUACACACCGCCCGUCGCUACUACCGAUUGAACGUUUUAGUGAGGUACUCGGACUGAGCCUCAGAAGAUUCACGUCUUUUGUGCUGCUCGGGAAGAUUCCCAAACUUGAGCGUUUAGAGGAAGUAAAAGUCGUAACA
RNAcentral lists this ribosomal RNA (326 nucleotides) under uncultured eukaryote. RNAcentral describes it as "partial 18S ribosomal RNA". It matches the Rfam family "Eukaryotic small subunit ribosomal RNA", at positions 1470 to 1796 of the family's 1831-position model. The record is from RNAcentral.